AGCAUUUUAGGAUUUAAUUUAAUUCAAACCUGCUAAUAAUAUAAUACACACAAGAAAAAUUAGCAGAAAAUAUAUUAACAAAUCUUCACAUUAUAAAACAUAGUUAAAUGAAUCUAAUCAGUCAGUAUGAGGGUGGUGUAUAUUUAUAAUUAAGCCCUUCUCCAAGGGAAUUACAGAAAUCUCUUAAUGAGGAUGAUUACUUGGUAGCCCAUCUAUGCCCAUUUUAAAAUCGCAUCACAGAGAUCAGAGCUUCAUCUAAUGAUAACAUUGCUUUAUCUUGCUAAUCAAGACACACAUUUUUCUUUUAGUGAAAUCAAUUGAGGUUAACUUAUGUAGGAAAAAAAAUAUUUCAGAGAAAGUAGAGGGUUUAAUACCACCUACAAGGAUAGUUCCAUCACCAGCACCACUAUCAGCCACUGAGCAAGGCCAGGGAUUGAACCCACAUCCUCAAAGUAUGCAAGUCGGGUUCGUUAACCAGUGAGCCACGAUGGGGACUCCCAAGAUUCUUUUAAUUAGAAAACUUGAAAGGUUUUCAUCAAAUAUGAAAGUUGAUCAAUAUAAAUCUCUUCCUUUUACUUAUCUCAAGUGGAAAUUAAUGGAUUAAAAUAUUUAUUUGUUUCUAAAGGGCUCGAUGAGUAAGUAUGGGAAAAAAUUCAAACACUUAAAUUUCUAAGGUAAUUUGUUAAUUAUUCUCUUUCUGCUUGUCUUCAGACAUGAAUGAAAACUAUAAAUGUAUUAGAAACAAUAUUUUAAAAUUUGCCUUCUGGUCUUUAAAAAAAUCUCCUAAUUUAUUAAUAUAGCAUAUAUGUUCCCCAUAAAAUUCCUUCCGUAUGGGGGUAAGUAACCCCACAACUAUACCAAAAAGCCCACCUCUGUGGGCUGGCGUUCUUGCACACUUAACAGCUUUCAAAGACAUCAGUUUUUGAAUCACAUUAAAUCAAGAUAGUUAAAAUUGUGAACACAAAGUUAAGUGCCAAAUUUGGACCACAAGCCUAAUAAUUAGUGAUCCUCAAAUUCAAUGAGUUGCUGAAAACACUAAUGUCCAAUAAUAAAGUAUUCUCAGUGCCUUCCUAUGCCUUCACUUUCAGAGUGGUCUUUUCGUCUCACCACCCUGGAGCUGGAUGUCUUCCUUUUAACUGCUGUCAAUUUGCUACUAGAAUGAUGCAGUCAGGCCUGCUCUUCCCAGUCAGUUACCCUCAAAUAAUGUCCCUUCCACUUAGUCUAUGCACAAAAAAAUCUCUGUCUUCCAUCUCUCAUCCCCUAAGGAGUCUCCCUCACAUACAAAUUGACUAAUAUAUUUUGUAACAUUCUAGUUUAAAAUUAUUGAUUUUUAUUUGCAAUAGCAUUAUCCUUUUUUUUUUUUUUUUCUAUUCCGGAAAACACUCUUACCUUUUUAGGUAUCAAAUUCACACUUCCACGCUAAGCAUUGUGGUUCCUAUGGAUACGCAUUUCUGUAUAGUGACAGAAUGCGCAGAGUGAGAUUGAGACUUUUGCUGGUGAUAUUUACCCUUCUCUAGUGAACUCAUUGCAGAACUGCUGGCCUGUUUUUCACUAUCACUGUAAGUAGUUCUCUAGGUCAGCAAAGAAAGCACCAGAAUAUCAAGUUGAAUAAAAUCUGUACUUUCUUUUGUCAAUCCAUCUAUUAAGACAGCCUGUCUAUUGCAUAUUUAGUUAUCAAGCAGCCAUUUUUUCUGUUUGGAAGGUCAGGAAUAUUCUUGUUUGACUUGAUCAGAAAAUGUAGGGGCAGCCAGUUAAAAUACUGUAACUUGCAAUUUAUGAUAAUAAUCCAUUUUAAGUCAACUAGCAAAAUGUCUGUGAGGUUUAUAUUUAUAUAAACCUGAGAACCUGAUACAUUUAUAUUUAUAUACCAUUUCAUUUAUAUAUCACAUACCAGAAAGCAAUACUUAAUCAGAUAAAAACCCAUAGCAUUUCCUUUGUUCUUUCUUCCCAUAUCAUUAUAAUAUCCGUAAUAUUAGUAUUUUGCAUGUUACUACCAAAUAAACAAGCCAGACCUAAUCAUGGAAGAGUCUACACAAAAAGGAGUUUAAAGUUUUCAUUUUGGUUCUUUAGGUCAACCAGGAAAGAAAAUGUGGAUGUUAUUAAAACUAGUUGUAUGCAGCUAAAUAUGCCCUAAUCAAGGCUUUAACACUAUCCUAGACAUCUAAGAGAGAGAGGAAGAAUUAAAAUUUUAAAUGCAUUUUUGGCUAUUUUAACCAUUUUACAUGAACAAUAAGCAUUUUUCUAUUAAAGCAAAAGAAAGAAUAAUUUAAAAUAUUAAUUCUUUUAUGUGGAUUUAUUCUCCUACUGAGGUAGAUUGGACCUAUUCCUGAACACUUCAAAAGAAGAUAAUGCUAACUGAAAGAACCACUUCCAAAUGGAAACCAACCUUACCAGAAUCCCCUCCCCAGGCAGUAGAUGGUUUGUAGGGCUGGCUUAUAUGUAGAUCCUAGGACAAAAUAUUUCAUGGCUACAAGCUGGCCUCUGGCAUCCAACAGCCAACAUUGGUUUACAGGAACAAAACACAAGGAUUGACUUUGAAAAUGAAUUUAACAAGUUGGAGGAAAAAAAAUCAGUAAAUACAGAGAAGUUUUAAAAGAAAGUGGGUAAGAAAAGUGACAGAGGUGGAAAAAGGAAUAGAAAAGUUGAUGAAGAAGAUAAUUUUUAUACCAGAGAGAGGAGGGUUCUUGGUUCUGUGAAGAUUAGGCAGCCUCUUCUGAGGAAAGUUUCAAGGACUGGAUGGGGCACUGGUCUUUGGUGGUUUGGGUGAAGUCAUAUCAGGGCAAGAGUAUGAACUACACAAUGUUUGAGGGUCAUUUAGUGAUAUGGUUUGCAAGAUGAGCAAGAGAAAUUCAGCCAUUUUUCUAGGCUGAUGAUGGGUGAAAUGCUUUCCAAUAUCACAUUUAAUCAGGGUGUUAUAUACGUAACAAAUAUUUGUUGAACAAAUUUGAAGUUCCAGCACUGUUCCAAGUUCUUAGGAUAUACCAGAUAACAAAACACAGUAACCAUUGUCCUUAUUAGCCAACUGUGUCAAAUCUAUGACCUUAUUUAAUCAUCUCAAUAACUCUAUGGCAUAAACAUUAUCAGCUGUAUUCCUUAGAUAAGGCAAAUGAAGAUAUGGAUCUUGCUUGAAAAAUCACUGCUUUAAAAUUUGGCUAAAAAUUUGGUUGUCCUCUAGAGGGUGAACUUUUAACCACUACACCAUCCAGAUUUCCCAAAAAAUGGACUGGAUUUUUCAGUAGAUAAUGAGAUGCACAUUUAAAAUGCUUGCUGGCUUCCUGUGUAGGAGAAGAAGCAUCAAAACUUUUUUUAAAGAUGUGUGUGUGUGUGUGUGUGUGUGUGUGUGUCUCCAAACCUACAUCAUUCAAAGCAGACAUUUAAAGCUACCUUUCAGUAAUUACAUCAAUAGUUCAAAGCCUGCAGAUAAAUUUUUUUUUCUAUUCAGACAGCCAUGUUAUCACAUAUUCCCAGGCCAACCCUUGACAUGACAUAUCAGUUUCCCAUCUUUCUGAAUUAUCUAAACCUCUAAUACUGAAAGAACCUAUUAGCAGUAAAAGCCUAGCUAAUACUGACAAAUUUCCUUGGCUUCUAACAUCAAAUUUUGACUGGAGUGUUUAUUCACAAAGCAAAGAGGCAAAUCUGGGAUCAUGCUCUCAGUUAAACAGAACUUUUCUUCUUCCUGAGACUUUAAACAUAAAAUUAAUUUUAAAAAUAUUGUAGAGAUAAUAUUCCAUUGUUUGUCAAAUCUAUGCCAUUAUAACUCUCUAUUCUUAUGUGUUGGUACACAAGGACAUAGAUAUAUGAGAAUUUCAGCAACUGUCUUGCAGGGUUAAACUGUGCUUCUUAUUGAUUUUGAAAGCUUAUGUGGUAAAAAUCCCUCCAAAGAACAUUUCCCCGGACCUGAAUGACAGCAUAAUGAUUUAUCUUUUGUAUCCAUGACUAACAAAUCCCUACAAAUAGAAAUAGCCUAUGUUAUGUCCUAUUUAGUGCCUAAUAGUUGUAUCUUUAAAACAGAAAUUUCUUAGGUUUGUGUUAGGUUAUUAAACAUGAAUUAAAACUUCCUGUGCAAGAUUUCCAGAAGCCCCUGCUUUCCAUUUUAUGUUUUUAGUUUCAUAGUGACUUAG
This 4121-nucleotide long non-coding RNA is filed under the name Sus scrofa (pig). Its description in RNAcentral is "lncRNA (ENSSSCG00030008124.1)". The record is from RNAcentral. Lineage: Eukaryota; Metazoa; Chordata; Mammalia; Artiodactyla; Suidae.